This 429-nucleotide ribosomal RNA is filed under the name uncultured bacterium. RNAcentral describes it as "bacterial SSU rRNA". It matches the Rfam family "Bacterial small subunit ribosomal RNA", at positions 354 to 776 of the family's 1533-position model. The record is from RNAcentral.
GUGGGGAAUAUUGGACAAUGGGCGCAAGCCUGAUCCAGCAAUACCGCGUGUGUGAAGAAGGCCUUCGGGUUGUAAAGCACUUUUAUCGAGGAAGAAGGUUGUGGGUUAAUAGCUCACUCACUUGACGGUACUCGAAGAAUAAGCACCGGCUAACUCUGUGCCAGCAGCCGCGGUAAGACAGAGGGUGCAAGCGUUAAUCGGAAUUACUGGGCGUAAAGGGCUCGUAGGCGGUUUAUUAAGUCAGAUGUGAAAGACCCGGGCUCAACCUGGGGGUGUCAUUUGAAACUGGUAGACUAGAGUGAGGCAGAGGAAAGUGGAAUUUCCGGUGUAGCGGUGAAAUGCGUAGAUAUCGGAAGGAACAUCAGUGGCGAAGGCGACUUUCUGGACCUUAACUGACGCUGAGGAGCGAAAGCGUGGGUAGCAAACAGG